Molecule: long non-coding RNA, 664 nt
Organism: Panicum virgatum (switchgrass)
Lineage: Eukaryota; Viridiplantae; Streptophyta; Magnoliopsida; Poales; Poaceae
Exons: 3
Source: RefSeq, a predicted model, not a curated record
GGAACUCUGGGAAACUACAAACAAAGUAGACGUUGCAAAAUUACACCCACUUCGCCUGAGAGACCAUGACGAUGAAGCAAUACUCUUCUGCAUUCUCUUUUUGCCUGAUGCUCUUGGUUGUAGCUGCUAUGGUCUGUGUCAUCUACACCAGCUCCGUCGAUGCCGGAAGAAGCGGUUACAACUCAUACAAGCCUUGUGGAAGGACUGACUUUGGUCAAUGCUCUGUUCCCACAAACGGUGGUGGGAACCCCUAGGAUGAACCUACCAAACUAAGUAAAAUAAUGCUCCAAGCAUCAGAGUUAUCUAUGUGUGGUUCUGCACUUGAGCUACGAUGUAUGUGUACCAAUACACAUAUUAUGGAUUGUAAUUUAGCUAGUAGCAAUAACAAGCGUACUACCCCAUUUUCUUAUAUUUGAUACUGAUUAGUCAAAAGUUGAACUAAUCAACGUCGAAUAUAAAACAAAUGGAGGGAGUAUCAUAUAUUGUAAUUUAGCCACUGCCUACUAUUCAUAUUAUGUGUGGUUGUAAUAUUUGCAAAAUAGUGUGGAUUGUAAUAGUGUGCAUUUGCAAAAUAUUGUCGUACCAGCUGGAAGCGAGGACUAUCCGGCUGUGUGCACUUUGCAGCAACUAUCACAAAUAAUAUACGUAUGCUGUUUUGAUUGCA